UGGUGCUUAUAUAGUGAUUUUCUAUUUUCAUGUGGACUAAAGUAGUGGACUGACCAACAGACUGACAUUAACAUCAGAGCCGUGCUGCUAGUGUGGCUAAAAGAAAAGAGAAGAAGAGACAGUCAUGUUGAUAUGAACAUUAGAGAAACACAUCAUGGAGCUGAAAUAUGAUCCUGCUUCCUCAUUUGGACUCAUUCACCUCAGCUGACACAUUCAACAGCAGACAGGUUUUUGUAGCAGUCUGUUUCACUGUGGGAGGAUAUGGCUACUACAUCUUUGGCUCUGGAACUAAACUGUCUGUAACAGAUGAGCAGGUAGUGAAGCCCGUGGUGAGCGUGUACCCAGCAGCAUCCAGAGCCCACCUGGAGGGGAACAGCUCCCUGCUGUGUGUGGCCUCAGCCAUGUUUCCUCCUCUGGUCCAGUUCUCCUGGAAAAGACAGAAGAAGAACGGCGGAGAAGCGGAGGAGCUGCCCCUGCUGAGGGAGAGCAGCUGGAGCUCAGAGAGUCGGGACGCACCAUUGCCAUCAGGAUGGUUGAUGGGAGUGAUUCUGACACAUAUAAAUACAGCUGCUGGGUGAAGCACGAGGGGGGCACAGUGGAGGCCCAAACACAACAAGAGGUUCCAGCUCCAGCAGCCUCCUGUCCUCCAGAGAGAGAGCCAGCAGACCUGCCAGCUCUGCAGCCAGCUGACUUGUCCUUCCAGUCUCAGUGCAGGGUGAAGCUGCUCUGCCUGCUGUACACAGUGCUGAUAGUGAAGAGUCUGGUGUACUGCUGUGGACUCUCGCUGCUGAUGAUCCUCACAAACAAGGGACCGUCCACCAACUGCACACAUGCUGACUGACUGUUUUCUGCUCGCCUUUUCUCACCAUCAAAUCUCAUCAAUUCAUCUCAUUCAUCACUUUGAUCAGUAUCACAAAUGUUAGUUAUGAUGUGUUGUGCUUAUUUUGGCUUUUUAUUCAAUAGUUAGAAGAUCAUCUGAAAUAAAUACAUCUUUACAUGUAUUGUUA
This is an RNA transcript of Oreochromis niloticus (Nile tilapia), 1007 nucleotides long. It is a transcript of the gene named immunoglobulin lambda-1 light chain, with no coding region annotated. NCBI's taxonomy places the organism in Eukaryota, Metazoa, Chordata, Actinopteri, Cichliformes, Cichlidae. The record is from RefSeq and is a predicted model, not a curated record. The transcript has 4 exons.